Molecule: ribosomal RNA, 229 nt
Filed under: uncultured bacterium
Lineage: Bacteria
Description: partial 16S ribosomal RNA
Rfam family: Bacterial small subunit ribosomal RNA
Source: RNAcentral
CGCGUAGGUGGUUUGACAAGUCAGAGGUGAAAUCCCUUGGCUCAACCAAGGAACUGCCUCUGAAACUGUCAGACUUGAGUACGGGAGAGGGAGGUAGAAUUUCUGGUGUAGCGGUGAAAUGCGUAGAUAUCAGAAAGAAUACCAGUGGCGAAGGCGGCCUCCUGGCCCGAUACUGACACUGAGGUGCGAAAGCGUGGGUAGCAAACAGGAUUAGAUACCCUGGUAGUCC